Molecule: ribosomal RNA, 1401 nt
Filed under: Triticum aestivum (bread wheat)
Lineage: Eukaryota; Viridiplantae; Streptophyta; Magnoliopsida; Poales; Poaceae
Description: partial small subunit ribosomal RNA
Source: RNAcentral
AUGGAAGGCGAUCCGAUGGGCGUGGCGCUGCCCGAGGACGCCCUCGCGGAAAUCCUCCGCCGCCUCCCGCCGCGCAGCCUCGCCACCUCGCGGUGCGUCUGCAAGGCGUGGCGCUCCAUCGUCGAUGGCCGCCGGCUGCUGCUCCCGGAGCUCCUGCCGCACUCGGUGCGUGGCAUCUUCCUCGAGUAUAACGAGGCCUCUUACCCGGGUUUCCUCUCUCACCCCUCCAUGGAGCCGGAUGAUAUCUUGGGCAAGCUCAACUUCCAUCGUCUUCGCCCCGACCCCUACCAGUGGACCUAUACUCACAUCGAGGGUCACUGUAAUGGGCUCCUGCUUUACCGAGACAGGCUAGGGCUCCAAGUGGCCAACCCCGCGACGCAGUGGCGGGCACGCUUGCCCCCGCCCCCGGAGACGGAGAGGGAGGGGGGGUUCGUCGAGCCGCACCUUGCGUUUGAUCCCACCGAGUCACUGCACUACGAGAUAUUGCUCGUCCCUCAAACGCCUCUUGCAGAGGAGAGGGACCAGCCCGAGCCGUCCAAGGAAUGGCCAGCAUCCACAUGGGUGUUGUGCUUGUUUUCAUCACGCACCGGGCAGUGGGAACAGAGGGCGUUUCUCCGGGAAGGCGAGGCCGCAGGGAUGGCUUCCGACGAGGUGUUGCACCGGACGUCAGAUAGCUGCAGCACUUAUUGGCACGGCAUGUUAUUUGUGCAGUGCAACGGUGGUUUCACUGUUAUGAGAAUAUCCUUGUCAAAUAAUAAGUAUCGGGUGAUUAAAAUACCAACAGAUAUUGAGGAAUCAGAAUAUUAUAAGCUUCAUCUAGGACGGUCAAGGGAAGGGUUAUGUUGUGCAACAUUUCGUGAUCGGACCAACCUUCGUGUUUGGAUCCUUGACGAUUCAUGUGGUACGAUGGAGUGGGCGUUGAAGCAUCACAUUGACCUUGACCAGAGUUUAUCACGUGUAAUGUGGCAUUGUGGGGAAAAGGAGGGACCCUGGAGUUUACAGGAUGCUAUCAAUGUUGAACACUAUGGUCAACAGGAUUUAAAUGAUGUUAACAUGGAUGAAGAUCACAGCAACAAUUCUUUUGUGAAGAGUGAAGUCGAAUGGGAUUCCGACAACGAUAAUAUAGGUGACAAUGAGUCUGAGGUCGUAGAGAACUACUUACCCUAUGUUUGUUUUCUUGGAUUUCAUCCUUACAAAGAAGUCAUCUUCUUGAAUCUUCUUUCGCUAAGAAGAGCAGUGGCCUAUCAUCUGAAUACCUCAAUAGUGCAGGAUUUGGGUAAUAUAUGGCCCAAUGACUACGAUGCUGGGCACGCGGGAGGCAUAUAUAAGUCUUUUCUGUACACACCUUGUUUGUUAGCAGAUUUCCCAGAAAACAAAUUGGAAGCCCAUGUUGCAGGCUAG